GACGAACGCUGGCGGCGUGCCUAACACAUGCAAGUCGAGCGGAGUCGAUCGACGGAAGCCUUCGGGCGGAAGAUGGUUGACUUAGCGGCGGAUGGGUGAGUAACGCGUGGGCAACCUGCCUCGAAGACCGGGAUAACAGCCCGAAAGGGCUGCUAAUACCGGAUGUGGUCAAGGAUCCGCAUGGAUUUUUGAUUAAAGGGGAAACCCGUUUCGAGAUGGGCCCGCGUCCUAUCAGCUAGUUGGUGAGGUAAAAGCUCACCAAGGCGACGACGGGUAGCCGGCCUGAGAGGGUGACCGGCCACACUGGAACUGAGACACGGUCCAGACUCCUACGGGGGGCAGCAGUGGGGAAUCUUCCACAAUGGGCGAAAGCCUGAUGGAGCGACGCCGCGUGAGCGAAGAAGGCCUUCGGGUUGUAAAGCUCUGUCUGGAGGGACGAAGGAAGUGACGGUACCUCCGGAGGAAGCCACGGCUAACUACGUGCCAGCAGCCGCGGUAAGAUCGACGUGUA
Molecule: ribosomal RNA, 511 nt
Filed under: uncultured bacterium
Lineage: Bacteria
Description: bacterial SSU rRNA
Rfam family: Bacterial small subunit ribosomal RNA
Source: RNAcentral